CCACCACGCUGCUCCACUGCGGGUUGGUGGAGGUGUUUUUACGGCCAAUAGCCGGGACCAACGGCUUAACGUGCCCUCCGAAGCACGGAAUCAUCUUACUUUUUCGGACAAUCAGGUGACUCAAGCCUGAAAAGUCCUUACCAAACAGGACAGUCUCACACAGUGAUUUCGACAAUGUCCCCAUCGGGAAUCGAACCCGGACCUCCAGAUCGUGAGCGUAACGCUCUAACCACUAGACCACGGAGGCUGUUGACACACAUCUAACAAUUAGAUUAUAAACGAUAUAAAUCGUCGCUGGCGUCGCUAACGGACAUAUCUGAAAAUUUUGGAGAAUCUGAUACUGCAGCUUUUGCUAUAUUGUCACAUCAUCAUCAGCCCAUUAACGUCCCCACCGCUGUGGCACGGGCCUUCCCUAUGGAUGGAUAGGGAGAUCGGGCCUUAAACCACUACGCCGGCCCAGUGCAGAUUGCUAAUGCAGCCGGGACCAACGGCUUAACGUGCCUUCCGAAGCAAAGAGGAGCUCGAGAUGAAAACUUUUUUUGUGGUCACCCAUCCUAUGACCGGCCUUUGCGAAAGUUGCUUAACUUCAACAAUCGCAGACCGAGCGCGUUUACCGCUGCGCCGCGCAAUAAGACACAAAUUAUUUUAGCAAAAAAUUGCAGUUUGCAAAGUCAGCCACGAAAUGAAGUAAUUCCAUUAUCGAUGAUACUGUUGAUAGGCAUAUCGAUAUAGGGGCUUAGAAAAUAAUCGAUUAUUAAUCGAUAUACAGUCGAUUAUCGGGAAACACUUAGUCAAAUGCAAACGUAUUUUUAAUUAAAAAAAGUAACGCUUGUAAACCGAUAUAGCGAAGGCUAGAUACUCAUAUUUAUAGCGAAGGACUUUCCACGCUACGUUCCCAAAAAUAAUAUAGAUAGCGCUGUACAGAUAUAACGUGAUAAUUACCUAUUUUCUCAUUAAAUAAUAAUAAAAAGAAAAAAAAAGAAGAUACUGAUUGCAGAUAUAAAACAAAUGUAAAUGUAAAUAUUCAAAUUCAAUUCAAUUCUAAUUCAAUUUUAUAUUUUUUAUUUUAUUUAGAUAUAAAUAUUCGUAUUCGUAGAUAUAGAUAAAAAAAUAGCCCGGGAAAAAAACAACCACAAGAAACAAUAUAAUAGCAGAAUCAUAAAUAAAAAUAAUUGUUGCUUAAUAUUUAGUUCAAAUUAUUUAUAUAAUUAUGUUGCUACCUAUAUUGCUUCUCUUUAUUAUGAUCAGAACAAUAAUGGGUGGAAGUUGUAAUUGUGCCUGGGUGUAAUAACAAGGGUCAUCAUUUAUAGACAAAAACAAAGAUAAAAGAUGCACAUGUCUGUUAUCUAUGAAAGUAGGUUAAACGAAGGCAACUUUGUACAGCGCCAUCUAUACAGGGUGUUAGUGACAUCGUAACGAAUGCUGAAGGGGAUGGUUCAGACCAUGAUUCUGAGUUAAUAUCAAGUGGAAUUUUUCGUCGCAAAAUUCAUGACUUUUAGUUUUUUUUAUAUUAUUUUCAAUUCUGUACUUUUACGACGGUAAAUUAUACUUGAUAUUAACUCAGAAUAAUGAGCUGUUUCAUGCCUCUCGGUAUUCGUUACAAUGUCGCUUACACCCCGUACAAGUACAUACAGGUACCCAUACAACUAGGUAUGGGUGUUAGUGACACCAUAACGAAUACUGAGGGGGAUGGUUCAGACCAUGAUUCUGAGUUGAUAUCAAGUGGAAUUUCCUGUCGGAAAAUUCAUGAAAAUGUGUUUUUUAUCAUUAUUUUCAGUCCCCUACUUUUGCGACGUAAAUUCCACUUGAUAUCAACUCAGAAUCAUGGUCUGAAUCAUCCCUCAAAGUUUUCGUUACGAUGUCACUAACACCAUAUUUUUGGGGACUAUAGCCUU
Long non-coding RNA from Pectinophora gossypiella (pink bollworm), 1895 nucleotides. RefSeq lists it as uncharacterized. The record is from RefSeq and is a predicted model, not a curated record. Lineage: Eukaryota; Metazoa; Arthropoda; Insecta; Lepidoptera; Gelechiidae. The transcript has 2 exons.